RNAcentral lists this long non-coding RNA (580 nucleotides) under Felis catus (domestic cat). RNAcentral describes it as "lncRNA (ENSFCAG00000046788.2)". Lineage: Eukaryota; Metazoa; Chordata; Mammalia; Carnivora; Felidae. The record is from RNAcentral.
GCUUAACCGACCGCGCCACCCAGGCGCCCCUAUUGUUUUCUUUUCAUUUGAAGCUAAUGUAUGAAAACUAAAAGACAAAAAAAUGAACAUGAAGUUACAUUUACUUUUAAAUAAUCUAUCAUUUAUGGAAUUCUUUUUUUUUUUCUUUUUCAGGAAAAGAGAGGCUUUUUAAGUGGGAAAUAUGAUAAAAUAUACAAACUUAAAUCAUGACUUCAAGACCGGGUGAUCCUGUAGUACAACAAAUCCUUUGUGGAAUGAGGCAAGCCAAAGAACUUGGCGUCCAAACAGAAGUGUCAUCACUUGAUAAUGGAUAUACUUGAAUCAGCCAAGCUACCCAUUCAGCAGCAGGAUAUUUGACAGCCUUUCUGAUUAAGGAAAAGAAGGUACUUUACAAAAAAGUUCUCUCAUGUUCAUGAAUUUUCAAGGUGGGACUUUUAUUUUCCAUCUGGCAUCUGUUUGUUUCUAAUUUUCUCACUUUAGGUGAACAAACUGUAGGGGAUUUAGAGAUAUCAUUCUGAGGCAUAAGGGCAAUCACCUGUACCACUUUUUAAAGAACUGUAGGUUAAUCGGCUCACUUCUC